GAGUUUAUUAAGGAUAUUAGAGAACGCUGCUGCAGCAGUCGGGUCUGGAUGUCAUGAAAGUAUGGAUCAAAGGUUCAUAUGUAGAGCACUGUUGUUAAAUACAAGGCUGGAUCUCAGUUACAGGCUGCAGUAGAAGCCACUCUGCUGUGACUCUGGGUGACUGGAGUGACCCGCUGUAUCCCGGCGUUGAAACACAGACCAGAUUCCAACAGCUUUUACAGGGCAGAGACAAACUCAGGAAAAAAUAUCUAGAGGUGCCAGAAUCUGAUCAGACAUACAGCAAUAGAGAAAAGGUCAAUCCUGACAUCCACCCAGAUGGUGCAGAAUGCACGGUUCAGCUAAUGAAGCCAGGUCAGAGUGUUGCCACUCGGCUGUUGGGGGUGAUAGCAGC
Long non-coding RNA from Monopterus albus (swamp eel), 391 nucleotides. RefSeq lists it as uncharacterized. The transcript has 3 exons. The record is from RefSeq and is a predicted model, not a curated record. Lineage: Eukaryota; Metazoa; Chordata; Actinopteri; Synbranchiformes; Synbranchidae.